Long non-coding RNA from Dama dama (fallow deer), 2303 nucleotides. RefSeq lists it as uncharacterized. The transcript has 3 exons. The record is from RefSeq and is a predicted model, not a curated record. NCBI's taxonomy places the organism in Eukaryota, Metazoa, Chordata, Mammalia, Artiodactyla, Cervidae.
CGAGUCCGUUGCCGACAGGAGGCCAACGAACCCAACGGCGUUCAGGAGUUUCGCGCGGUCGGUUAAGCGGCUCUGCAGUAAGCAGAGGCUGGGCUGCGAUCCCUUACGCAUCCCCGGGACCAGGAAAGGGAGCAAUGGAGGCGCCGGCGCCCCGCCGCUCGAGCCCUCCGCCUACGGCUCCAGCUCAGGACCCCCGACCACUUCGGGCCACGAGGAGACCUGGCCGUCGGGAGUAUUAAAAGCGCCCCGGCCUCUCGGAAAGUGCGGCCAAAGCCGAAAGCGACUGGUGUCGAGGAAGAAGGGGGUCGUUUCAGGCUGUGACAUGGAAGCAGUUUUCUCGAGGAAGAAAGACGAGUCUUACCGACCGUUCGGUGACAGCGCCUCAGUUCUGCCCAGCGUUCACUCUACAAGUGCAGUGAACACCUGUUAUGUGCAGCGAUCAAAGAGAUGAGACUGACCAGAGCCUUGCUGUCGAGGAACUGGGCAAACAAGAACCCACAGAGGCCCCAGGCCUCUAAAAUACAUCCCAGAGGUCGACAAAGGUGGUGCUUGGUUAAAAAGCAGCCAGAGAAGUGCAGAGCUCAUCAGGCUCUGAGCACCUGGCUUCCUGGGAAGGCGUCCCGGCUGCCGCAGUCCCCCUGCCAAGAGGGCUUCGGGGGCACCAAGGACGCCUGCUGACUGUACCCAGGUGAGCCCGGGGAGGCAGGAGGAGAGCCGCAGAAGGCACGGUGGUCUGCACCCCAUUUCUUCCCCCGCUGCGCACAGCCUGGCCUGCUGGUCCUGACUCAGAUGGCUUCCCGGAGCAGCUCCCUGGCAGUUGGACCUGGAAGGCUGGGCAGACUCCCACACGGUCCAGUCCCCACGCGCCCCCUGCCUUCCCUGGGCCCUGGACCAGGGAGCUCACAGCGCAGAGGACAAGACGGUGGCCUGUUGUCCCAGCACGUGGCAGCACCACAGAUCUGUUAUCUCCGUUUCUGGGGGUCGGGGAUCCAGCCAAGACAGGCAGGGGCUUCUGCCUCGAGGUCUCGCGAGGCUGCACCCGGGCAUCGGCGGGGACUGUGGCCCAUGCGCAGGCUCCACCUGGAGGGUCCAGGCUCACUCGGGGUCGUUGGCAGGAUUCGGUUCCUCGGUUCCUCAUGAGCUACUAGGGGAGCAUCAUCCUUGUCUGCAUUUUGCUGGAGGGCUCACUCCAUUCUUGGUCAAGUGAGCCUCUUCAGAGGGCAUCUCCCUACAAGGAGGGCGGCAGGCAUCUAGGGGAGCCGGCCCCGCAUGUAACGUGACAGGGAAGAAAGCACGCGUGAUGGGGAGACAGGCCCCCGUAACCCCACCUGCAAUGGCAGCUUGUCCUUCUGUGCCGUUAGAUUCAGCUCACCCUGGGGAGGGCCUCGCAGAGCGCUCGCCCAGUGGGGACCACUGGGGACCACACCCCCGCCCCACUCUGCACUCUUCCUACCGUCCCCCAGGCCUGGGUCUCCAGAGACGGUCAUACUGUGUCCAGUGUGACAAUUGUGUGUUUUUCUCUCGUUUUAGAAACUGUAGCCUGGGCCACCGCGCCCUGAGAUAGAUGUACCCAGAGAGUUGUAGGCUGCACUGUGGACACUGUUCUGUCCACGCCGCCCCUGCGUCAGCCCUCCCCGGGCCUCUGCUUACUAGGCUUUCCCGCCUCCUCCAUGACAGGAGCCGCUUUCCUUAAGCUCAGGAGUUGUUUGCAUUUUUAUCAGAGCAGGAUCAGGCCCCCAGUCUCCAGGGAGUGGAGCAGCAACAGGGGAAUCUGAGAAGGAAGCAGAGGGGCCCCCACAGGCCACACAGUCAAGGCUUGAACCACAGCUAAAUCUCAGUGUUGGUGAAACCCUGGGAAGGGCCGUUGCGGAGGCCUGGGUACCCCUGCUGCCCCAGGAGGCCGAGCCGGAGGGGCUGAGUGAUGCAGGGCGGGCCCCCGGGCGAACGGUGUCCCGACGCUGCAGCCACCCUGUCCCUGUCAGGUGUCCCCUGCCCAGGGCCCACCGGGAGCUGGCACAUUCGGCUGCUUUUCUGUUUGUGGGCUGUGUAAUAAACGGAAGCUAAAAAGGACUGGCUCUUUCUUUAGAGGCUAACCUGCCAACCUUGGCUGCCCGGGCGUGACAUGAUGGAAGGAAGGGGAGGGGAGGCGGGAAGGUGAGAGGAGGCGGGAAGAAGGGCCCCAGGCCCCGGCCCUCGCCACCCCUCCCCUGGGCCGGAGCCAGGUCCUGCUUUCUGGUCCUGCUUUUCCUCCUGGGGUUCCACCCAACCCCGUGGAGUUUGACCACUCCACUCCGGGGACACUG